CCAAAACUUCAAUAUGGAAGAGGAGCAGAAAUAAGAUCUACAUGAUGCUUUUUACGGAAGAGUGGCUGAUGAUGCAUCACUCAUCCUGUGAGGCACCUGCUGCCAGUGACUGUGCCAGCCUGGGAUCUUGCACCAGUUGUUCAGUGUACAAGGAUACUUUCUCUUCUGUCUCCUUAUGAUGCUCAGGUCUUGAUACAUCUGUACAGACUCAAACCUUUGUGGUACUAAACUCUUGCUUCAGUCAUUAUUGUUUCACAUAUACUGGUGGCCCUGGGGACAUUGAACUGCAGAUACUACAGACUCCUCAGAGUUCCUUAACUAAGCAAAAGUGUUGGAGGC
RNAcentral lists this long non-coding RNA (339 nucleotides) under Heterocephalus glaber (naked mole-rat). RNAcentral describes it as "lncRNA (ENSHGLG00100039419.1)". The record is from RNAcentral. Lineage: Eukaryota; Metazoa; Chordata; Mammalia; Rodentia; Bathyergidae.